This 492-nucleotide ribosomal RNA is filed under the name uncultured bacterium. RNAcentral describes it as "partial 16S ribosomal RNA". It matches the Rfam family "Bacterial small subunit ribosomal RNA", at positions 29 to 507 of the family's 1533-position model. The record is from RNAcentral.
AGUGAACGCUGGCGGUAGGCCUAACACAUGCAAGUCGAACGGCAGCACAGUAAGAGCUUGCUCUUACGGGUGGCGAGUGGCGGACGGGUGAGGAAUACAUCGGAAUCUACUUUUUCGUGGGGGAUAACGUAGGGAAACUUACGCUAAUACCGCAUACGACCUACGGGUGAAAGCAGGGGAUCUUCGGACCUUGCGCGAUUGAAUGAGCCGAUGUCGGAUUAGCUAGUUGGCGGGGUAAAGGCCCACCAAGGCGACGAUCCGUAGCUGGUCUGAGAGGAUGAUCAGCCACACUGGAACCGAGACACGGUCCAGACUCCUACGGGAGGCAGCAGUGGGGAAUAUUGGACAAUGGGCGCAAGCCUGAUCCAGCCAUACCGCGUGGGUGAAGAAGGCCUUCGGGUUGUAAAGCCCUUUUGUCGGGAAAGAAAAGCAGCAGGUUAAUACCCCGCUGUUCUGACGGUACCCAAAGAAUAAGCACCGGCUAACUUCGUG